This 460-nucleotide ribosomal RNA is filed under the name uncultured bacterium. Its description in RNAcentral is "partial 16S ribosomal RNA". It matches the Rfam family "Bacterial small subunit ribosomal RNA", at positions 338 to 795 of the family's 1533-position model. The record is from RNAcentral.
CCUACGGGGGGCAGCAGUGAGGAAUAUUGGUCAAUGGACGAGAGUCUGAACCAGCCAAGUAGCGUGAAGGAUGACUGCCCUAUGGGUUGUAAACUUCUUUUAUAUGGGAAUAAAAUGUUCCACGUGUGGGAUUUUGUAUGUACCAUAUGAAUAAGGAUCGGCUAACUCCGUGCCAGCAGCCGCGGUAAUACGGAGGAUCCGAGCGUUAUCCGGAUUUAUUGGGUUUAAAGGGAGCGUAGGUGGAUUGUUAAGUCAGUUGUGAAAGUUUGCGGCUCAACCGUAAAAUUGCAGUUGAAACUGGCAGUCUUGAGUACAGUAGAGGUGGGCGGAAUUCGUGGUGUAGCGGUGAAAUGCUUAGAUAUCACGAAGAACUCCGAUUGCGAAGGCAGUUCACUGGACUGCCACUGACAUUGAUGCUCGAAAGUGUGGGUAUCAAACAGGAUUAGAUACCCCUGUAGUC